RNAcentral lists this ribosomal RNA (383 nucleotides) under Cryptotermes secundus. RNAcentral describes it as "partial large subunit ribosomal RNA". Lineage: Eukaryota; Metazoa; Arthropoda; Insecta; Blattodea; Kalotermitidae. The record is from RNAcentral.
CUCUUCUUGUUUGUUGAUUUGAAGUAUGGCCUGCCCGCUGAGGUUAUUGAAGGGCCGCGGUAUUUUGACCGUGCAAAGGUAGCAUAAUCAUUAGCUCUUUAAUUGUGAGCUGGUAUGAAUGGUUUGACGAGGCAUUAACUGUCUUUAACUUAAGGGUUGUUGAAUUUGUUUUUUAGGUAAGAAUACCUGGAUUUUUUUAUGGGACGAGAAGACCCUAUAGAGUUUUAUAUGACGCAUUUCCUUUAGUUUGUUGUGUUUGUGGGGUGUUGGUUUAUAUUUUGUUGGGGCGAUGAGAAGGUAGGUGUAACCCUUCUUUUAUUGUGUUUUCACUUAUUUGUGCUUUUUUGAUCCUUUUUAUUGAUUGUAAGACUAAAUUACCUUAG